GGUCAUGAGCGCCAGCGUCAAGCCCCGGCUCGCUGGCCGGCAACCCUCCUCCGCGGUGGGGUGCCCCGGGUGACGACCAGGCCGCGCACCGUUCGGUGCCGGCAAGCGCGGG
RNAcentral lists this non-coding RNA (112 nucleotides) under uncultured Cellulomonas sp. Its description in RNAcentral is "S-adenosyl methionine (SAM) riboswitch". It matches the Rfam family "SAM (S-adenosyl methionine) riboswitch aptamer". Rfam says of the family: SAM-IV is a mRNA element that regulates gene expression via direct sensing of S-adenosylmethionine (SAM or AdoMet). SAM-IV riboswitches share conserved nucleotide positions with the previously described SAM-I riboswitches sequence analysis and molecular recognition experiments suggest that SAM-I and SAM-IV riboswitches share similar ligand binding sites, but have different scaffolds. Lineage: Bacteria; Bacillati; Actinomycetota; Actinomycetes; Micrococcales; Cellulomonadaceae. The record is from RNAcentral.